RNAcentral lists this ribosomal RNA (460 nucleotides) under uncultured bacterium. Its description in RNAcentral is "partial 16S ribosomal RNA". It matches the Rfam family "Bacterial small subunit ribosomal RNA", at positions 338 to 795 of the family's 1533-position model. The record is from RNAcentral.
CCUACGGGUGGCAGCAGUGAGGAAUAUUGCUCAAUGGGCGCGAGCCUGAACCAGCCAAGUCGCGUGAAUGAUGACUGCCCUACGGGUUGUAAACUUCUUUUAUAAAGGAAUAAAGUGAGGCACGUGUGCCUUUUUGUAUGUCCUUUAUGAAUAAGGAUCGGCUAACUCCGUGCCAGAAGCCGCGGUAAUACGGAGGAUCCGAGCGUUAUCCGGAUUUAUUGGGUUUAAAGGGAGCGUAGAGGGGUUGUUAAGUCAGUUGUGAAAGUUUGCGGCUAAACCGUAAAAUUGCAAUUGAUACUGGCAGUCUUGAGUACAGGUGAGGUAGGCGGAAUUCGUGGUGUAGCGGUGAAAUGAGUAGAUAUUAGGAAGAACUCCGAUUGCGAAGGCAGCUUACUAAACUGCAACUGACAUUGAUGCUCGAAAGUGUGGGUAGCAAACAGGAUUAGAUACCCCUGUAGUC